RNAcentral lists this ribosomal RNA (306 nucleotides) under uncultured bacterium. RNAcentral describes it as "bacterial SSU rRNA". It matches the Rfam family "Bacterial small subunit ribosomal RNA", at positions 28 to 334 of the family's 1533-position model. The record is from RNAcentral.
GAUGAACGCUAGCGGCAGGCCUAACACAUGCAAGUCGAGGGGUAACGGGGUGCUUGCACCGCCGACGACCGGCGCACGGGUGAGCAACGCGUAUAGAACCUACCCGUUACAGGGGGAUAGCCCAGAGAAAUUUGGAUCAAUACCCCGUGGGGCCCUUGACCGGCAUCGGUCUUGGGCUAAAGAACUUCGGUAACGGAUGGCUAUGCGUCCCAUUAGCUAGUUGGCAGGGUAACGGCCUACCAAGGCAGCGAUGGGUAGGGGCCCUGAGAGGGGGAUCCCCCACACUGGUACUGAGACACGGACCAG